GAACUAAGAAGCCUUUAGCUAAUAAGAAGAGUUUCCCAUUAGUUCUCCCUUGGGAAGAAGGAGUGGAAUUGGGAAUUCGCUUUCUUUGGGUUGAAAGCGUGUUGCAGGCUUGAAACUGCUUUUCCGACAUUGAAUGCUUCAAUUGCAUAAGAGAAGACAGGAUAGAAAUAGAAAAUAGGGUCCUUGUUACCCUCCAAAGAAGAAGAGGAAGAGAGCUAGGAUAAGAAGAAAUGAGAAAAGAAUCCCAUUUCUACUACUUUAUCUGCGCUCCUGGCGCGAGACCCUUUCGCAUAGAAUGGUAUUCAGAGGGCCCAUA
RNAcentral lists this unclassified non-coding RNA (316 nucleotides) under Hevea brasiliensis (rubber tree). Lineage: Eukaryota; Viridiplantae; Streptophyta; Magnoliopsida; Malpighiales; Euphorbiaceae. The record is from RNAcentral.